AUCCCAACACACAUGGCGCGUCACUAUAUCAUAACUAAAUUAAAAAAAUAAAAAAUAAAAAUACAAUUACAAUUAAUAUACUUUUAAUAAGUAAAUAAAAAUAAAAAAUAUAAUGGGUAAUAAAUGGCUUACAAAUCAAUUAUUAAAAAGCAAUUGCACUAAAAAAGACAAUUAGUCUCGUACAUCUAAGAGACAGCCAUUAACUUUAUUCCAUUAAAAAAAACCCUAGAUUUAUAUUUUUCACUUUCAUCUCUCUCAUUUUAGUUCUUCUCAGGCCACACAUCUAAGAGACAUGCCAACCAAGGGAACGUCGGCGAGAUUGACGUUCAAGAUCAUCUCAGAGUUCGCUCACGGCAAGGGAACGUUGACGCUUUCCAAGGAUCUCUAGGUCGACUACGGCGGAGAGAUCAACCCAUGCGAUGGAUGGGUCUUCGGCGAUCGACGUCUUCAACGAAGACGGAAGCUCAGAUCUUCACCUCGAAAUUAUUCAGAUCUGCUAUGUGCCUUCUUUCUUUCUCUCUCUCUCUCUCUCUCUCUCUCUCUCUCUCUCUCUCUCUCUCUCUCUCUUGUUGAAUCUGCUAUGUCCGUUCUUUCUACUCAGACGAUGGAGGAUUUGUAUGGAUUCAGGCUAAAAAAUGGUCGGUUCCAGAGUUGCAGCUAGAUAGGGACGAAGAUCAACACUAUCAAUGGAACUAAGUUAUUUAUUUUUUAUUUUUUUAUCAAAUUCUCAUACCCAUAAUUCUGGGUUUACAUUGUUCUUGUAUUUUCUUUAAAACAAUUAUGUAUUCUUUUUGAAAUAUUUUAAUGUAAUUUGUUUUAGGUUUUAUA
Long non-coding RNA from Cannabis sativa, 828 nucleotides. RefSeq lists it as uncharacterized. NCBI's taxonomy places the organism in Eukaryota, Viridiplantae, Streptophyta, Magnoliopsida, Rosales, Cannabaceae. The transcript has 2 exons. The record is from RefSeq and is a predicted model, not a curated record.